This 771-nucleotide ribosomal RNA is filed under the name Pseudomonas sp. PD. Its description in RNAcentral is "bacterial SSU rRNA". It matches the Rfam family "Bacterial small subunit ribosomal RNA", at positions 54 to 821 of the family's 1533-position model. Lineage: Bacteria; Pseudomonadati; Pseudomonadota; Gammaproteobacteria; Pseudomonadales; Pseudomonadaceae. The record is from RNAcentral.
CAUGCAGUCGAGCGGUAGAAGGAAGCUUGCUUCCUUUGAGAGCGGCGGACGGGUGAGUAAUGCCUAGGAAUCUGCCUGGUAGUGGGGGAUAACGUUCGGAAACGGACGCUAAUACCGCAUACGUCCUACGGGAGAAAGCAGGGGACCUUCGGGCCUUGCGCUAUCAGAUGAGCCUAGGUCGGAUUAGCUUGUUGGUGAGGUAAUGGCUCACCAAGGCAACGAUCCGUAACUGGUCUGAGAGGAUGAUCAGUCACACUGGAACUGAGACACGGUCCAGACUCCUACGGGAGGCAGCAGUGGGGAAUAUUGGACAAUGGGGGAAACCCUGAUCCAGCCAUGCCGCGUGUGUGAAGAAGGUCUUAGGAUUGUAAAGCACUUUAAGUUGGGAGGAAGGGUUAUAGCCUAAUACGCUGUAACUUUGACGUUACCGACAGAAUAAGCACCGGCUAACUCUGUGCCAGCAGCCGCGGUAAUACAGAGGGUGCAAGCGUUAAUCGGAAUUACUGGGCGUAAAGCGCGCGUAGGUGGCAAAGUAAGAUGGGUGUGAAAUCCCCGGGCUCAACCUGGGAACUGCAUCCAUAACUGCUUCGCUAGAGUACGGUAGAGGGUAGUGGAAUUUCCUGUGUAGCGGUGAAAUGCGUAGAUAUAGGAAGGAACACCAGUGGCGAAGGCGACUACCUGGACUGAUACUGACACUGAGGUGCGAAAGCGUGGGGAGCAAACAGGAUUAGAUACCCUGGUAGUCCACGCCGUAAACGAUGUCAACUAGCC